GACCCCAGCAAUGGGCAGAGACAUUUUGUUGAUGGUGUUGCUCCUGUAUCAUUCGGGGGCAGAGUAAAUAACAGUCCUUUGUUCAUCCUAGAUUGAUGUUUGAUUUGAUGGCCAAAGCUGUCUUAUGCCUAGGACUCAAAA
This is a small nucleolar RNA of Mus pahari (shrew mouse), 141 nucleotides long. RefSeq annotates it as small nucleolar RNA SNORA48. The transcript has a single exon. NCBI's taxonomy places the organism in Eukaryota, Metazoa, Chordata, Mammalia, Rodentia, Muridae. The record is from RefSeq and is a predicted model, not a curated record.